CCUACGGUUGGCAGCAGUGAGGAAUAUUGGUCAAUGGACGAAAGUCUGAACCAGCCAAGUCGCGUGAAGGAAGACGGACCUAUGGAUUGUAAACUUCUUUUAUAGGGGAAUAAAUGGAUGCACGUGUGCAUUUUUGCAUGUACCUUAUGAAUAAGGAUCGGCUAACUCCGUGCCAGCAGCCGCGGUAAUACGGAAGGUCCGGGCGUUAUCCGGAUUUAUUGGGUUUAAAGGGUGCGUAGGUCGUUCUUUAAGCUUGCCGUGAAAUGUUGUGGCUCAACCAUGAGAGUGCGGUGGAAACUGGAGGCCUUGAGUGCGGGUGAGGUAGGCGGAAUGCGUGGUGUAGCGGUGAAAUGCGUAGAUAUCACGAAGAACCCCGAUUGCGAAGGCAGCUUACU
This 395-nucleotide ribosomal RNA is filed under the name uncultured bacterium. RNAcentral's name for it is "partial 16S ribosomal RNA". It matches the Rfam family "Bacterial small subunit ribosomal RNA", at positions 338 to 730 of the family's 1533-position model. The record is from RNAcentral.